This 460-nucleotide ribosomal RNA is filed under the name uncultured bacterium. RNAcentral's name for it is "partial 16S ribosomal RNA". It matches the Rfam family "Bacterial small subunit ribosomal RNA", at positions 338 to 795 of the family's 1533-position model. The record is from RNAcentral.
CCUACGGGUGGCAGCAGUGAGGAAUAUUGGUCAAUGGACGAGAGUCUGAACCAGCCAAGUAGCGUGAAGGAUGACUGCCCUAUGGGUUGUAAACUUCUUUUAUAUGGGAAUAAAAUGUUCCACGUGUGGGAUUUUGUAUGUACCAUAUGAAUAAGGAUCGGCUAACUCCGUGCCAGCAGCCGCGGUAAUACGGAGGAUCCGAGCGUUAUCCGGAUUUAUUGGGUUUAAAGGGUGCGUAGGUGGAUUGUUAAGUCAGUUGUGAAAGUUUGCGGCUCAACCGUAAAAUUGCAGUUGAAACUGGCAGUCUUGAGUACAGUAGAGGUGGGCGGAAUUCGUGGUGUAGCGGUGAAAUGCUUAGAUAUCACGAAGAACUCCGAUUGCGAAGGCAGUUCACUGGACUGUAACUGACACUGAGGCUCGAAAGUGUGGGUAUCAAACAGGAUUAGAUACCCGAGUAGUC